GCCCUGAAAUCGGGACACAAGAGGAAAACAACGAGCAAAGAAGUUUAACAUUUUAUUCCUCUAAUUCUUUGGUUACAGAGUCCAGUCCUCCACAGAGCAGCACCAUUCACACUUCCUGUCAUCAGACCUUUCAGCAUAGAAGGGCUCUGUCAGCAACCUGCAUUAAAGAUCAACCAGCAACUCCAGUGAUCUGACUCCCUUCUUCAUCUGAACACAACGCAGAACACAUCAAGACUGAAUAUUGAGCCAGUUAGCAGCUGUGUGACCCGUGGAGCCCUGCAGACCAGAGUUUCAACAGCUGACACAGAGUGAGCACGAGACGGUGCAGGAGAAUCUGAGUAUUGACUUA
Molecule: long non-coding RNA, 349 nt
Organism: Poecilia latipinna (sailfin molly)
Lineage: Eukaryota; Metazoa; Chordata; Actinopteri; Cyprinodontiformes; Poeciliidae
Exons: 3
Source: RefSeq, a predicted model, not a curated record